AGAUUAAGCCAUGCAUGUAUAAGUUUAAUCGUUUAUCGAGAAACCGCGAAACGGCUCAUUACAAUGGCCAUUAUUUACUUGAUCUUGAUUGUCUAAAUGGAUAACUGUGGAAAAGCUAGAGCUAAUACAUGCACUAAAGCUUUGUCCUUACGGAAAAGCGCAUUUAUUAGAACAAAACCACGCGGCUUCGGCUGCUUCUGUUGACUCAGAAUAACUUAGCUGACCGCAUGGCCUUGUGCCGGCGGCGUGUCUUUCAAGCGUCCACUUUAUCAACUUGACGGGAGCAUAAUCGACUCCCGUGGUGGUGACGGAUAACGGAGGAUCAGGGUUCGACUCCGGAGAAGGGGCCUGAGAAAUGGCCACUACGUCUAAGGAUGGCAGCAGGCGCGCAAAUUACCCACUCUCGGCUCCAGGAGGUAGUGACGAGAAAUAACGAGACUGUUCUCUUUGAGGCCGGUCAUCGGAAUGGGUACAAUUUAAACCCUUUAACGAGUAUCAAGGCAGAGGGCAAAGUCUGGUGCCAGCAGCCGCGGUAAUUCCAGCUCUGCAAAUACAUAGAAUUAUUGCUGCGGUUAGAAAGCUCAUAGUUGGAUUCGUAUCGAUACCUGGAACCCUUCGGGUGUCUCUAGGUGUUAUCGAUUUAUCGUAAUGUUCGGUUUUGAGUCCUUAACAGGAUUCUUAACAGGCAUUGCAAAGUUUACUUUGAACAAAUCAGAGUGCUUCAAACAGGCGUUUUCGCUUGAAUGAUCGUGCAUGGAAUAAUAGAAAAUGAUUUCGGUUCAGUUUUAUUGGUUUUACGGACUGAGAUAAUGGUUAACAGAGACAAACGGGGCAUUUGUAUGGUCCCGUGAGAGGUGAAAUUCUUGGACCGUGGCCAGACAAACUACAGCGAAAGCAUUUGCCAAAGAAUGUUUUUUAUUAAUCAAGAACGAAAGUCUUCCGGUUCCGGGGGAAGUAUGGUUGCAAAGCUGAAACUUAAGGGAAUUGACGGAAGGGCACCACCAGGAGUGGAGCCUGCGGCUUAAUUUGACUCAACACGGGGAAACUCACCCGGCCCGGACACUGUGAGGAUGACAGAUUGAUAGCUUUUUCAUGAUUCAGUGGAUGUGGUGCAUGGCCGUUCUUAGUUCGUGGAGUGAUUUGUCUGGUUUAUUCCGACCAGACAAAUGGUGGACUUUGCUCGUGGCUGCUUGAGCUUCCUUACGGGGCGGCGCUUGUGACUAGUAGUGAGGACUGCUUGUGGAGUGCUUCAGCUGCGUGCUAUUUCGCAAGAUAUAGUACUUCGAUUGGCGCUGAACAACCAGUUUAGAACUGGCACGAACUCCGGGAAUCCGACUGUCUAAUUAAACAGAGGAGACGGAUGGUCCUUGCAGGACGUUGACCGUGUCUGAUUUCUGCCCAGUGCUCUGAAUGUUAAGCCAAGGAAACUUGAUUAAGCGCGGGUAAACGCGGGAGUAACUAUGACUCUCUUAAGGUAGCCAAAUGCCUCGUCGGCUAACUACCGACGGCGCACGAAUGGAUCAACGAGAUUCCCACUGUCCCUAUCUACUAUCUAGCGAAACCACAGCCAAGGGAACGGGCUUGGCAAAUUUAGCGGGAAAGAAGACCCUGUUGAGCUUGACUCUAGUCUGACUUUGUGAAGAAUCAUGAGAGGUGUAGCAUAAGUGGGAGUCGCAAGACAACAGUGAAAUACCACUACUUUCAUCGAUUCCUUACUUAAUCGGUAAAACGGGAGUUGUGUCUAAGGACCUUCAUUUUUGUUUUAAGACUAGCCACUCGGUGGUUGGUUGACUCGCGCGAUGACAUUGUCAGGCGGGGAGUUUGACUGGGGCGGUACAUCUGUCAAAUUGUAACGCAGGUGUCCUAAGGCGAGCUCAGAGAGGACGGAAACCUCUCGUUGAGCAAAAAGGCAAAUGCUUACUUGAUCUUGAUUUUCAGUACGAAUACAGACCGCGAAAGCGUGGCUUAUCGAUCCUUUUGAGUUUGUAAAGUUUACAGCAAGAGGUGUCAGAAAAGUUACCACAGGGAUAACUGGCUUGUGGCGGCCAAGCGUCCAUAGCGACGUCGCUUUUUGAUCCUUCGAUGUCGGCUCUUCCUAUCAUUGCGAAGCAGAAUUCGCCAAGCGUUGGAUUGUUCACCCACCAAUAGGGAACGUGAGCUGGGUUUAGACCGUCGUGAGACAGGUUAGUUUUACCCUACUAAAUACUUGUUGCUAUGAUGGUAUCCUGCUUAGUACGAGAGGAACCGCAGGUUCAGACAUUUGGUUCAUGUGCUUGGUCGAUAGGCCAAUGGCGCGAAGCUACCAUCUGAGGGAUUAUGACUGAACGCCUCUAAGUCAGAAUCCCGCCAGUCAUGAUAGCAAUAUAUAUCGCUCUCCGGUGUCGGAAGGCAAAAUGUAUGCCAUUUUUUGUGGUAGUACAAGCCCCAGUAUCUGGCAUUUUCUUUCUACUAUAAUUGGUAGUUGGUUGCUAAAAGCUUAGCACUCCUCGUGCAUGUGUAACGUCGGGGCGCAAAAUCACUUGU
RNAcentral lists this ribosomal RNA (2523 nucleotides) under Meloidogyne arenaria. RNAcentral's name for it is "eukaryotic LSU rRNA". The stretch from base 1093 to 2523 matches the Rfam family "Eukaryotic large subunit ribosomal RNA", at positions 1890 to 3308 of the family's 3401-position model. Lineage: Eukaryota; Metazoa; Nematoda; Chromadorea; Rhabditida; Meloidogynidae. The record is from RNAcentral.